This is a non-coding RNA of Nicotiana tabacum (common tobacco), 557 nucleotides long. Lineage: Eukaryota; Viridiplantae; Streptophyta; Magnoliopsida; Solanales; Solanaceae. The record is from RefSeq and is a predicted model, not a curated record.
ACGGAUUGAAUCGUAGAUAACGGAGACCAAACAAGAUGACAACUUCCGUGUGUGUUACCCCAACGAUUUCGUAAAACCAUCGCAGAAAGUUUUCUCCUCGUUCCCCUCGCAGCACAGCUUCGUCUUCGCCAAGUCAAUUUUCUAUACCAAUACAGUUUAUAAGUUGGAAAUGCUGAUUUGACGGUAAUUCUGGUUGCACUUUAUCCAGUCACGACUGGUGGGUUUGUUGGCAAAUAUAUACUUCACGGUGAUGGUCCUGGAGCAGUAGAAUUUCUUAGAUAUCAUUUUCAAGCUUCAACAUUUGGUGAUAACUCUAUUCAGAGCCCAGAGUUGUCUAGAGAUUGGGAGGUAUUUUUUUCUGUGAGAUCCAUUAAUAGAUCGUGGACUUGAAGAAAAUUGAAAAAUUCUGCAUCAAUGUUGAACUUGUUUAGUCCCAGGAGGCUACCUUGGAUAUCUGGUACAGAUGGUCAGAAAAAGGUAGUUUUAACUGCUGUAGAAGUAGAAUCUCUUCGGUCAGAAAUUGCUGCUUUGGAAGAAAGAGAAGCUCAUUUAAAAGC